GGCCCAGAUCGUUUACCGUGAAAAAAUUAGAGUGUUCAAAGCAGGCAGAUCCAAUUUUCUGCCACCGAAUACAUUAGCAUGGGAUAAUGGAAUAGGACCCUGUCCUCCUAUUUUCAGUUGGUUUUGGCAGCGCGAGGACUAGGGUAAUGAUUAAUAGGGAUAGUUGGGGGCAUUAAUAUUUAAUUGUCAGAGGUGAAAUUCUUGGAUUUAUGAAAGAUUAACUUCUGCGAAAGCAUCUGCCAAGGAUGUUUUCAUUAAUCAAGAACGAAAGUUAGGGGAUCGAAGACGAUCAGAUACCGUCGUAGUCUUAACCAUAAACGAUGCCGACCAGCGAUUAGGAGACGUUGAAUACAAAACACCACCAUCGGUGCGGUCGUCCUUGGCGUUGGUCUUCAAAAGCCAGCGCGGGGGUGGCUUAGCCCGGUGGCACCGGUGAA
This 437-nucleotide ribosomal RNA is filed under the name Acanthamoeba genotype T4. Its description in RNAcentral is "SSU rRNA". It matches the Rfam family "Eukaryotic small subunit ribosomal RNA", at positions 740 to 1096 of the family's 1831-position model. The record is from RNAcentral. Lineage: Eukaryota; Discosea; Longamoebia; Acanthamoebidae.